RNAcentral lists this ribosomal RNA (495 nucleotides) under Triticum aestivum (bread wheat). RNAcentral describes it as "partial small subunit ribosomal RNA". The record is from RNAcentral. Lineage: Eukaryota; Viridiplantae; Streptophyta; Magnoliopsida; Poales; Poaceae.
UUUCAGACCGACAAUGGGCGUGAAUUCGACAAUCUCGCAAAUCGCUCACUCUUUGCCUCCCACGGCACGCUCUUCCGCCUCACCUGUCCCCAUACUUCCCAACAAAACGGCAAGGCUGAACGGAUACUCCGUACCCUCAACGACGGUGUCCGGACCCUCCUCCUACACGCCUCCAUGCCUCCUCGUUGGUGGGCCGAAGCCCUUGCCACGUCCACCUAUCUCCUAAAUCGGCGUCCCUGCAAAGCCAAUCUCCUCACCACACCAUACGAACUUCUCUUCGGGACCCCACCCGAUUUUCGUCAUCUCCGUGUUUUUGGAUGCCUCUGUUAUCCCAACCUCAUUGCUACCGCCCCACACAAACUCUCCCCUCGAUCAGCGGCUUGCAUUUUUCUCGGUUACCCGGACGAGCGAAAAGGCUAUCGUUGUUACGACCCCAUUACCCGGCGCAUCCUAUUCUCCAGGCACGUAACUUUCGUGGAGUCUAUCUUUCCAUUU